UACGGGGGGGGCAAGCGUUGUUCGGAAUUACUGGGCGUAAAGGGCUCGUAGGCGGCCAACUAAGUCAGACGUGAAAUCCCUCGGCUUAACCGGGGAACUGCGUCUGAUACUGGAUGGCUUGAGUUUGGGAGAGGGAUGCGGAAUUCCAGGUGUAGCGGUGAAAUGCGUAGAUAUCUGGAGGAACACCUGUGGCGAAGGCGGCCCCCUGGUUGGAUACUGACGCUGAUACGCGAAAGCGUGGGGAGCAAACAGG
Molecule: ribosomal RNA, 253 nt
Filed under: uncultured bacterium
Lineage: Bacteria
Description: partial 16S ribosomal RNA
Rfam family: Bacterial small subunit ribosomal RNA
Source: RNAcentral